RNAcentral lists this ribosomal RNA (519 nucleotides) under Tirumala limniace. RNAcentral's name for it is "partial 16S ribosomal RNA". The stretch from base 387 to 519 matches the Rfam family "Archaeal large subunit ribosomal RNA", at positions 2542 to 2675 of the family's 2987-position model. The record is from RNAcentral. Lineage: Eukaryota; Metazoa; Arthropoda; Insecta; Lepidoptera; Nymphalidae.
UUUUUGAAAAUAAUUUAAAGUCUAAUCUGCCCACUGAUAUAUAAUAUUAAAGGGCUGCAGUAUAUUGACUGUACAAAGGUAGCAUAAUCAUUAGUCUUUUAAUUGAAGACUUGUAUGAAAGAUUUAAUGAAAUAUAAGCUGUCUCUUAUUUAUAAUUAGAAUUUAAUUUUUUAGUUAAAAAGCUAAAAUUAAUUUAAAAGACGAGAAGACCCUAUAGAGUUUAAUAAUUAAAUUAUUUAAGAUUUUAUAUAUAAAUUAUAAUUAAAAAAAAUUUAAUUAUUUUAUUGGGGUGAUAGAAAAAUUAAAUAAACUUUUUUUUUUAUAAUUACAUGAAUAAGUGAAUUUAUGAUCCAUUAUUAAUGAUUAAAAGAUAAAAUUACCUUAGGGAUAACAGCGUAAUUUUUUUUUUUAGUUCGUAUAAAAAAAAGAGAUUGCGACCUCGAUGUUGGAUUAAGAUAAAAUAUAAAUGCAAAAGUUUAAAAUUUUGAUCUGUUCGAUCAUUAAAAUCUUACAUGAUCU